UAGCCACCAGUUAAUUAAAUUGAAAAUUCAGUAAUUUGUACAAACAAGUGAAACCUACUACUGUACCUUUACUGAUGAUGAUAUAACUUGAUCAUCAUCACAACUCUGUAUUUGUUGCACAACAACUUUUUGACUGUGGAGCAACGUGUUCUCCGACUCCAAAACUUUAAUCUUCUCCCUCAGUCUGACAUAAAACAAUUUCAAAUAUCUGCAGUGAUUGCUUUCAAGAAACAUCAUCUAUGUGCCCAGCUAUGUGAAGUGCUUCAGGGUUUUAUCAAGUUUUUGUAGGAACGGAAGUACCAAGUGUACGCUCAGAGUGUCUCUUUUCUAUAUUCUUACAGUUCCAUUUCCUCAGUGAAGUCUUCCUUAGCUGAUGCAGCCAAAGCCUGCUGACGUAGCACCUGAUUCUCAGACUCGAGAUUAGAUAGUUGUGAAGUUUUCAUUUGUGCCUCUUCUGCUUCUUUAAGUCUAGCAUGGCUUUCUAGUUCCACCUUUGAAUAAGCCUGCUCAAACUCUUCUACCUUCUUCUUCAAUUCAGUAAUCACUUCCUGCAAAUAUGCACUCGGAAUUAGAUGAUCAGUAGAUGGCAGGCUGGAGCAGCUUACCAGGCUUCAUCAAGAAGAGCAAUUAUUCCUCCUGGUUUCUGCAGGUAAAUAAAUAUUCAAAUACUGUUGUUAACAUUAUGAAUAUAAUUAGAUUAGCAUGCAUCCUCACACAAACAAACCUUUUCAAGAAGAUCUAGAACAUCUUGAUUGUCAACGAACUCAACAUAACUCCAGUCAAUUUCCUCCUUUGUAUACUCCUCUUGUUCCAUCUUGAAAACAUGCUGUAAUAUGUUUGUCCAAUGAAUCAACAUAUGUCCAGUAUAUAUGGUGCCGAUAUUAAGCUGAACUACAUUGUACCUGAUUGAAAUGCUGUUGCAACUUCUCGUUCGUUAGGUUGAUACACAACUGCUCAAAACUGCAAUAUGCAGGGUGCAGACAAGUUAGUCUUGAGGCACAAACACCUCUGUUAUGUCCAAAGAAAAAGGCAGUAAAUACCUGUUGAUCUUGAAACUCUCGAACCCAUAAAUAUCUAGGACUCCAAUUAUGCUUUUAGCAUUCGGGUCUUGACCAAUCGAAUUGUUUAUCUUGUCCACAAUCCUGUCAUAAUAGUAGGAAAGAAGUGGCAGUUAUGCAUAAUUUUUCUUUAUUCGCUACAGCAUAGUACUUCAUUUCAAUCAAAUUUUUGUAUUCUGAAACUUUUGAUCAGAUCAAAUGAAAAAUACUGUUUCAUCCAUUCAGUUGCUUGAUAUUUUUUUCAGUCACUCUUAUUUUGUUGAUGCAAAACCUCAAAUUGAUAGCAAGUUUCUAAAAUGCCUCCUUAUCUCUUUACCCCAUGUAGCUCAUCUAUAAGACUGUAUUGUUACAAUUUCUGUAAGUAGUAAUUACAGUGCCCAUAAGAAUCAGGAAUAUAGUAUUCGUACUGGAAUCGAAUCAUAUUUCUUUGUGCUAUGCUUCUCAUAAUCAUGAGAAAAACCUCUGCUAGUCAUAACAUUUCAUAGGGAUGAGUAUCAUGACUUGGUGAAUUCACUCACCAAUCAAACAAUCUGGAAUAUAUUGUCUUUGCAAAAGCAUCCCUGCUUGUGACAGCUGCAGCUGGAUCGAGUGGUUUUGUGAUGCUCCCAUCGGGGGUAACAAUGACGCGCUUGCAAAGAGAGUCCUCCAGUGCCUUCUCACUGCACCUGUAUAGAUGCAUUUCAAACAACAUUCAAGAACUUCAUAAAGCUCAAAUGUUGUUGUAUCAAGUGCCAAAACUGAAGAGAUCUCUUACUGGAGCAGCUCAGCUGCCGUCUGAAGGUGAUAGAGUGACUUAUCAUUUUUCAGCUUAGAUGAAUCUACUUCACUCCCCUUGACAAACUCAAUAUUCCCCAAAUGGAGUAUAGCAGCUACUACGCGGAAUAUAGCUUCCUGCUCAAGGACAGAUGAUAAAAAGGUGUCAAUGAUUUGAGGCUGCUUGCACGAUCCUCCAUUCUCCAGUCAAGAGACAUACCUGCUCGUCCUGGCUGAUUCCAACAAUGUCCAUGGCAUUUCUGGUUUCCAGGUAUUCUCUGGCAUCGUCUACAUUUGCCACCUCAUAGCAAUUACUUUGAUUUAGAUAGUGAAAUGAUCUUGGAUCUCCAAGCUUGUACCUCUUCACUUCCUGCAGUUAAAUGGUACUUUAGGCACGGCGGUUCAUACAAAUUCACUUCAUGAAAAUACACAUCACCUCUGGAGGCGCUGCGCAAAGCAUGUAAAAGCAAUGGUAGUUCCUCUCCGGAUCAGAGACUUGGCAAACACGCGAUCUUUCUAGGAGAUAAGUCCGAACUGCAGCUCCGGAGAUCUUCCCAUGCUUAUCGAAUUGGAUUUCUACAAAUUUACCGAAACGACUGGUACCACCACUCAGUCAAGUGAACUUCUUCUCCACUCUCUCCGCUCACCAAGAUAGACUGGCUUCCAUGUUCAUUAAUUAUUGACCUGAGGUAUCUGCAACGGCAAAGAGAUGCGGACUCAGCUCUCCGAAAGCAGCUCCUUUGUACUGCUGCAUCAUAUGGAUAUCAUACAGAUGUGGCAACCUCCGGAAAGGAUUCACAGCUAUCAAAAUGUUCCCUGUCUUCAGGAUCUUCAGCCCAAACAUGCGAUCCAACAAUGAUGUUUACCGGACUACCCUGAAGUGAAGAAGACAAACAAGAUCAUUACUUCCACUCAUCACAAAACUGCAGAUGCAUGUAUCAUCGCAAAUCAACUGAUUUACCAUUUCUGGUGAAGGCUAUCUGAGCAUUGAACACAAAAUGAGUAAGUUUCUGCUAGAGAGAGAGAGAGAGAGAGAGAGAGAGAGAGAGUAUUUGAAGGAAUGUUGAAAUGAAAAGGAGCAGAGCAAGGUAGGAAAAGGAAUGUCGCAAGGCACUCGAAAAGUAGGGUAAUGAAGGAAGGUGGUGAAAAUUGCAACAACAAAAAAGCAAAAGGCGAAAAAUUGCAGCCUACAUUCUGUCAACUCCGAUUUUCUAGGUCCACGUCGGAUGCUGACAUGGCACCCGAAAAGUACUGAUCCUGUGAUUCGCGCGUGAAUUCUGUAGUUGAAACCGGCCAAUGGGAACAAGAUGAGGUGAUCAAUGGCAAUUUGCAAUCCCAAAAUGCAUGAAUGAUUGCAGCAUGCCAUGGUGAUUAGCUGUGGGCUUGCAAUGUAAAAUGUCACAUUGUUGCUAAUUAUGAUGUGCAGCAGGCAAAAGUAGGUGCUAGUAAUCUUUCAAUGGGGCAACCAAUAUUUUUUUAUAUUGCCUUUUUCUUUAAAAUGCUUGGCCCCUUAACUUUCUCUUUAAUCAAGGGUUUAACAAGAUUAAAGAUGAAUUUGUGUGUGUGUUUGUCUAGCGGGUGGAAGGUUAAUGCUCAAGACCUGAGGUCCUGAGUUCGAGUUAGGAUGUGAUAAGCGAUCGAAGAAUAAACUUCUUUUCUAUUAAUUUUCAUUUUAUUGUAUUCCAAUGUAUAAUUAUGUAAUGUGAUUAAAUUAAAUAGUCCAACAAGCUCAUACUCUUGUUUUUA
This is a long non-coding RNA of Salvia miltiorrhiza (redroot sage), 3557 nucleotides long. RefSeq lists it as uncharacterized. The transcript has 7 exons. The record is from RefSeq and is a predicted model, not a curated record. NCBI's taxonomy places the organism in Eukaryota, Viridiplantae, Streptophyta, Magnoliopsida, Lamiales, Lamiaceae.